AACGAACGCUGGCGGCAUGCCUAACACAUGCAAGUCGAACGAGACCUUCGGGUCUAGUGGCGCAAGGGUGCGUAACGCGUGGGAAUCUACCCUCAGGUUCGGAAUAACUCAGAGAAAUUUGAGCUAAUACCGGAUGAUGACGUAAGUCCAAAGAUUUAUCGCCUGAGGAUGAGCCCGCUUAGGAUUAGGUAGUUGGUGAGGUAAAGGCUCACCAAGCCGACGAUCCUUAGCUGGUCUGAGAGGAUGAUCAGCCACACUGGGACUGAGACACGGCCCAGACUCCUACGGGAGGCAGCAGUGGGGAAUAUUGGACAAUGGGCGAAAGCCUGAUCCAGCAAUGCCGCGUGAGUGAUGAAGGCCUUAGGGUUGUAAAGCUCUUUUACCCGGGAUGAUAAUGACAGUACCGGGAGAAUAAGCUCCGGCUAACUCCGUG
This 433-nucleotide ribosomal RNA is filed under the name uncultured bacterium. Its description in RNAcentral is "partial 16S ribosomal RNA". It matches the Rfam family "Bacterial small subunit ribosomal RNA", at positions 29 to 507 of the family's 1533-position model. The record is from RNAcentral.